RNAcentral lists this ribosomal RNA (1252 nucleotides) under Kocuria sp. RNAcentral's name for it is "bacterial SSU rRNA". It matches the Rfam family "Bacterial small subunit ribosomal RNA", at positions 37 to 1330 of the family's 1533-position model. The record is from RNAcentral. Lineage: Bacteria; Bacillati; Actinomycetota; Actinomycetes; Micrococcales; Micrococcaceae.
UGGCUCGGCGUGCUUACACAUGCAGUCGAACGCUGAAGCACCAGCUUGCUGGUGUGGAUGAGUGGCGAACGGGUGAGUAAUACGUGAGUAACCUGCCCUUGACUCUGGGAUAAGCCCGGGAAACUGGGUCUAAUACUGGAUGCUACAUGUCACCGCAUGGUGGUGUGUGGAAAGGGUUUACUGGUCUUGGAUGGGCUCACGGCCUAUCAGCUUGUUGGUGAGGUAAUGGCUCACCAAGGCGACGACGGGUAGCCGGCCUGAGAGGGUGACCGGCCACACUGGGACUGAGACACGGCCCAGACUCCUACGGGAGGCAGCAGUGGGGAAUAUUGCACAAUGGGCGAAAGCCUGAUGCAGCGACGCCGCGUGAGGGAUGACGGCCUUCGGGUUGUAAACCUCUUUCAGCAGGGAAGAAGCCACAAGUGACGGUACCUGCAGAAGAAGCGCCGGCUAACUACGUGCCAGCAGCCGCGGUAAUACGUAGGGCGCAAGCGUUGUCCGGAAUUAUUGGGCGUAAAGAGCUCGUAGGCGGUUUGUCGCGUCUGCUGUGAAAGCCCGGGGCUUAACCCCGGGUGUGCAGUGGGUACGGGCAGACUAGAGUGCAGUAGGGGAGACUGGAAUUCCUGGUGUAGCGGUGGAAUGCGCAGAUAUCAGGAGGAACACCGAUGGCGAAGGCAGGUCUCUGGGCUGUUACUGACGCUGAGGAGCGAAAGCAUGGGGAGCGAACAGGAUUAGAUACCCUGGUAGUCCAUGCCGUAAACGUUGGGCACUAGGUGUGGGGGACAUUCCACGUUUUCCGCGCCGUAGCUAACGCAUUAAGUGCCCCGCCUGGGGAGUACGGCCGCAAGGCUAAAACUCAAAGGAAUUGACGGGGGCCCGCACAAGCGGCGGAGCAUGCGGAUUAAUUCGAUGCAACGCGAAGAACCUUACCAAGGCUUGACAUAUACCGGAUCGUUCCAGAGAUGGUUCUUCCCCUUUGGGGUCGGUAUACAGGUGGUGCAUGGUGUCGUCAGCUCGUGUCGUGAGAUGUUGGUAGUCCCGCACGAGCGCACCUCGUCAUGUUGCCAGCACGUGAUGGUGGGACUCAUGGAGACUGCCGGGUCACUCGAGAGGUGGGAUGACGUCAAUCAUCAUGCCCUUAUUGUUCUUGCUCACGCAUGCUACAUUGCGGUACAAGUGGCAAUCUGUGCAGUGACUAUCUAAAGCCGUCUCAGUUCGGAUGAAGUCUGCACUCUGAACCUCAUCUAUGUGA